GUUGUGGCUCAGUGGUAGAGUGCUCACCUAGCACAUAGGAGGCCCUGGGUUCAGUCCUCAGCACUACA
This 68-nucleotide transfer RNA is filed under the name Marmota monax (woodchuck). RNAcentral describes it as "tRNA.Ala". Lineage: Eukaryota; Metazoa; Chordata; Mammalia; Rodentia; Sciuridae. The record is from RNAcentral.